RNAcentral lists this ribosomal RNA (492 nucleotides) under uncultured bacterium. RNAcentral describes it as "partial 16S ribosomal RNA". It matches the Rfam family "Bacterial small subunit ribosomal RNA", at positions 29 to 507 of the family's 1533-position model. The record is from RNAcentral.
AGUGAACGCUGGCGGUAGGCCUAACACAUGCAAGUCGAACGGCAGCACAGUAAGAGCUUGCUCUUACGGGUGGCGAGUGGCGGACGGGUGAGGAAUACAUCGGAAUCUACUUUUUCGUGGGGGAUAACGUAGGGAAACUUACGCUAAUACCGCAUACGACCUACGGGUGAAAGCAGGGGAUCUUCUGACCUUGCGCGAUUGAAUGAGCCGAUGUUGGAUUAGCUAGUUGGCGGGGUAAAGGCCCACCAAGGCGACGAUCCGUAGCCGGUCUGAGAGGAUGGUCAGCCACACUGGAACUGAGACACGGUCAAGACUCCUACGGGAGGCAGCAGUGGGGAAUAUUGGACAAUGGGCGCAAGCCUGAUCCAGCCAUACCGCGUGGGUGAAGAAGGCCUUCGGGUUGUAAAGCCCUUUUGUUGGGAAAGAAAAGCAGCAGGUUAAUACCCCGCUGUUCUGACGGUACCCAAUGAAUAAGCACCGGCUAACUUCGUG